Molecule: long non-coding RNA, 526 nt
Organism: Priapulus caudatus
Lineage: Eukaryota; Metazoa; Priapulida; Priapulimorpha; Priapulimorphida; Priapulidae
Exons: 2
Source: RefSeq, a predicted model, not a curated record
UAGCAUUACCCGGCCGCGUCUUCUAUUACGUACAGGCUCCCGCCUCGACAACAACGCGUAGUGUGAGUGCUUCGUACAUGUCGUAUAUUCGUGUUCGUCGCUGACACGCACGCGGGUUGUCCACGGAAGGUGAGAGAGAGCGCGCGCGCGUGAGAGAAAGCCAGACGGUUGCAGACGGGUAUCGAACCUGCUCGAACCCUAGACUCGGACGGAGAGGAGAGGAGAGGCGAGGAGCAGACGGUUCGAGAGUUUGCUGGAGAGACCGCCAUCGAUUUCUGAGUGUGCAGCGCAGUUGAUGCUCGACGAAGCUAGCCGCGUGUGAGUGAGUACACGUAGCCGACAGGGGAGCUAGCUGCAGCAGCUGCCCGCUGAAUCCCGUGCCCUCGCUCGCUCGUUCGGAAGUUUCAGUGGAGUCGGCGCUCAGUGACAACGCCCUGUACACGGAUCCGACAUGGGAGGCAUUGUCAGCUUCUGUCGCGACGGAGGAGCGGAACCGGUCGACGACAGCAAAGCUCCGACAAAGAAG